AAGCAAGGAAACAGGAAGUGUUUCUUUUUUCCCCUCCACUCCUGCUCCAGCGGCACAAUGUGAUCCACCAGCAAGGAGGGACGCCAAUAAGGCAUCCGAUAAGUCUUAUAAAAUAUAUAGAUUUAUGAUAAUUAAGACUGAGCUAAAAGAUGAGGAAUCCUAGUCAUUGAUCAAGCAGCUUUGAACAUUAGUGGUCAAACAUGCAAAUCUACUUUUAAUCAAUAACAAGAAAGGAUCCUAUAUUCAAUGCAGGAAUCACAAGGCUGUUGAUUGAGUGUCUUUGAAACAUACUGCAGUCAAGCAAUUCCAUUGUCCUUCUGUGCAUUGUGAUUAUUCCAGCAAAGCCUUUCAAGUCCCUGCGCCAGUCAGAACAUCCCCCACCAGCAGAACUCUACACUGAACCACCACCAGUAAAAGUUCUAGCCAUGACAUUAGAUCAUUUUACCAGAGACCCUUCUACAACCCAGGAUGGGGUCCUCAUCUCCAGGCAAAUGGAUGGCACUAGAAGAAACUAUCCUGAGUGAGGUAACCCAGUCACAAAAAGACAAACAAGAGCCUUCAUCCAGUGGCUGAUGGAAGCAGAGGCAGAUAUGCACAGCUAAACACUGAACUGAACUCCUGGAAUCCAGUUACAGAGAGGGAGGAGUGAUAACCAAAGGGGUCAAAACUGGUCUGGUGAAAUCCACAGAAUCAGCUGACCUGAACAAGGGGAAGCUCAUGGACCCCAGACUGAUGUUUGAGAGGCCAGCAUGGGACUGAUACAGACCCCCUUAACAUGGGUGUCAAUCAGGAGGAUUCAGAAAUCUAUGGGGCCUCGGGUAGUAGACCAAUAUUUAUUCCUGGCACAGGAAUGGACUUUGGGAGCCCAUUCUACAUGGAGAGAUGCUCUCUCAAUCUGGACACACAGUGGAGGGCCUGGCCCUACCCGGGAUGAUAUGAUAGACUUUGGAGAUCCCCCAUGGAGG
This 965-nucleotide long non-coding RNA is filed under the name Cricetulus griseus (Chinese hamster). RNAcentral describes it as "lncRNA (ENSCGRG00015032003.1)". The record is from RNAcentral. Lineage: Eukaryota; Metazoa; Chordata; Mammalia; Rodentia; Cricetidae.